UGGCUGAGUGGUAAAGCACUUGCUUCUGAACUGGAGAUCCCAGGUUCGAAUCCUGG
Molecule: transfer RNA, 56 nt
Filed under: Biomphalaria glabrata
Lineage: Eukaryota; Metazoa; Mollusca; Gastropoda; Planorbidae
Rfam family: tRNA
About the family: Transfer RNA (tRNA) molecules are approximately 80 nucleotides in length.
Source: Rfam by way of RNAcentral